CCUACGGGCGGCAGCAGUGAGGAAUAUUGGUCAAUGGCCGGAAGGCUGAACCAGCCAUGCCGCGUGAAGGUCAGUGCCCUAUGGGCGUUAAACUUCUUUUGUGCGGGAGCAAUAAUGGUCACGUGUGGCCAGACGAGAGUACCGUACGAAUAAGCAUCGGCUAACUCCGUGCCAGCAGCCGCGGUAAUACGGGGGAGGCAAGCGUUAUCCGGAUUUAUUGGGUUUAAAGGGUGCGUAGGCUGGGAGGUAAUUCAGCGGUGAAAUGCCCCCGCUCAACGGGGUGAAGUGCCAUUGAUACUGCCUGGCUGGAAUGCGGAUGCCGUGGGAGGAAUGUGUGGUGUAGCGGUGAAAUGCAUAGAUAUCACACAGAACACCGAUUGCGAAGGCAUCUCACGAAUCCGCGAUUGACGCUGAUGCACGAAAGCGUGGGUAUCAAACAGGAUUAGAUACCCGAGUAGUC
This 460-nucleotide ribosomal RNA is filed under the name uncultured bacterium. RNAcentral describes it as "partial 16S ribosomal RNA". It matches the Rfam family "Bacterial small subunit ribosomal RNA", at positions 338 to 795 of the family's 1533-position model. The record is from RNAcentral.